UGUUUUCGUAUUACCUACUCUAACGAUAUAAGGCUUGUACAUCGUCCCAUCACUGCUAUAAAGGCCUUCACUACUUAUUCUUGACACUAGUUCAUCUACUGCAGCAUUUGAUUGUGCACAGAUGAGAAUUCUUCUUUUACUGCAGUUUCCAACUGGUUUAUCAUUCUCUAAAUCCCCGUUAAGUUGUCUAGCUAAGGCUGCG
Molecule: unclassified non-coding RNA, 202 nt
Filed under: Hevea brasiliensis (rubber tree)
Lineage: Eukaryota; Viridiplantae; Streptophyta; Magnoliopsida; Malpighiales; Euphorbiaceae
Source: RNAcentral